RNAcentral lists this ribosomal RNA (258 nucleotides) under uncultured bacterium. Its description in RNAcentral is "partial 16S ribosomal RNA". It matches the Rfam family "Bacterial small subunit ribosomal RNA", at positions 75 to 334 of the family's 1533-position model. The record is from RNAcentral.
CUUGCUUUCUUUGCUGGCGGCCGGCGCACGGGUGAGUAACACGUAUCCAACCUGCCCUUUACUCGGGGAUAGCCUUUCGAAAGAAAGAUUAAUACCCGAUAGCAUAAUGAUUCCGCAUGGUUUCAUUAUUAAAGGAUUCCGGUAAAGGAUGGGGAUGCGUUCCAUUAGGUUGUUGGUGGGGUAACGGCCCACCAAGCCUUCGAUGGAUAGGGGUUCUGAGAGGAAGGUCCCCCACAUUGGAACUGAGACACGGUCCAA